GACGAACGCUGGCGGCGUGCUUAACACAUGCAAGUCGAACGGAAAGGCCCUGCUUUUGUGGGGUGCUCGAGUGGCGAACGGGUGAGUAACACGUGAGUAACCUGCCCUUGACUUUGAGAUAACUUCAGGAAACUGGGGCUAAUACCGGAUAGGAGCUCCUGCUGCAUGGUGGGGGUUGGAAAGUUUCGGCGGUUGGGGAUGGACUCGCGGCUUAUCAGCUUGUUGGUGGGGUAGUGGCUUACCAAGGCUUUGACGGGUAGCCGGCCUGAGAGGGUGACCGGCCACAUUGGGACUGAGAUACGGCCCAGACUCCUACGGGAGGCAGCAGUGGGGAAUAUUGCACAAUGGGCGGAAGCCUGAUGCAGCAACGCCGCGUGCGGGAUGACGGCCUUCGGGUUGUAAACCGCUUUCGCCUGUGACGAAGCGUGAGUGACGGUAAUGGGUAAAGAAGCACCGGCUAACUACGUGCCAGCAGCCGCGGUGAUACGUAGGGUGCGAGCGUUGUCCGGAUUUAUUGGGCGUAAAGGGCUCGUAGGUGGUUGAUCGCGUCGGAAGUGUAAUCUUGGGGCUUAACCCUGAGCGUGCUUUCGAUACGGGUUGACUUGAGGAAGGUAGGGGAGAAUGGAAUUCCUGGUGGAGCGGUGGAAUGCGCAGAUAUCAGGAGGAACACCAGUGGCGAAGGCGGUUCUCUGGGCCUUUCCUGACGCUGAGGAGCGAAAGCGUGGGGAGCGAACAGGCUUAGAUACCCUGGUAGUCCACGCUGUAAACGGUGGGUACUAGGUGUGGGGUCCAUUCCACGGGUUCCGUGCCGUAGCUAACGCUUUAAGUACCCCGCCUGGGGAGUACGGCCGCAAGGCUAAAACUCAAAGGAAUUGACGGGGCCCCGCACAAGCGGCGGAGCAUGCGGAUUAAUUCGAUGCAACGCGUAGAACCUUACCUGGGUUUGACAUGGAUCGGGAGUGCUCAGAGAUGGGUGUGCCUCUUUUGGGGUCGUUCACAGGUGGUGCAUGGCUGUCGUCAGCUCGUGUCGUGAGAUGUUGGGUUAAGUCCCGCAACGAGCGCAACCCUUGUUCACUGUUGCCAGCACGUUAUGGUGGGGACUCAGUGGAGACCGCCGGGGUCAACUCGGAGGAAGGUGGGGAUGACGUCAAGUCAUCAUGCCCCUUAUGUCCAGGGCUUCACGCAUGCUACAAUGGCUGGUACAGAGAGUGGCGAGCCUGUGAGGGUGAGCGAAUCUCGGAAAGCCGGUCUCAGUUCGGAUUGGGGUCUGCAACUCGACCUCAUGAAGUCGGAGUCGCUAGUAAUCGCAGAUCAGCAACGCUGCGGUGAAUACGUUCCCGGGGCUUGUACACACCGCCCGUCAAGUCAUGAAAGUUGGUAACACCCGAAGCCGGUGGCCUAACCGUUGUGGGGGAGCCGUCGAAGGUGGGACUGGUGAUUAGGACUAAGUCGUAACAAGGUAGCUGUACCGGAAGG
RNAcentral lists this ribosomal RNA (1476 nucleotides) under uncultured bacterium. Its description in RNAcentral is "16S ribosomal RNA". It matches the Rfam family "Bacterial small subunit ribosomal RNA". The record is from RNAcentral.